GCAGCACUGCAGCCCUGGCUGUGCUCAGAGCAGAACGUGCUGAGGGCAGAUGUGCAGCAAGGGAGACUUGGCCUGCAGUAGUGGUCACAGAGCUUGGCACCAGCUCCAAAAACAUACAUGGAACUGCUGUGGGAUGCUCAUUUUAAAUGUCUGUUCACCUGCUUGUGAAAAAAAAAACCUGUUCUGUGAACAACUUCAGCAGUUUUAAAAUAUAAUUAUUGCCUGAGUGCAUCUAACAGUGGUGGCACAACUCAGGGACCACACUGACAACUGAAAAGAAUGUGUCCUGGGACACUGAUAUGUACAGGGCUACAUAUAUAUUGGUGGUGAGGAAAAACUAGUGUACAAAUUUAUUUUAAUAAGCUGGAUAUACAGCAUAAAUAUUUAUUAUUAUAUUUUUCAUUGCUUUAUUUUUGUCUGUUCAGAUGUCGUCUACUUUCCUACCUGGGAGAGGAGCUGAAUGAGCAAGGCCAGCCUGAAUGCCUCAAACUCCUGGGGAAUUUUCUCUUGGAAGCCAGUGGCAGCUUCACAUCUUUGUGUUAAUGUGUGACCAGGAAUAUGCCAAUUUGAUUCACUGCUCUGGAAAUACAGGCAGAAAUGUCAGUAAGAAAUUGGCAGGGUUCUACAGCCGUGGUCUGGCUUUGCCAUUCAAAGUUUAUCAUUCUGCUGAGAAAGCCUUGAGGAUUCCCAAAGCAAUGGUGUGAAAAUCAAGGUAAGCAGUGACUAAAUUAAGUGCAGAGACUAAAUUAAAAUUGGACAUUGUAUUGUGUGCCCAUAGCUGGAAAGGGAAGUUAAAAUUAAAAACCAAAAGGGACUGUGGCCACUCUCUUUUCUUAGCUCUGGAUUUAAACGUUCAGCUAAUAUCUUUCUUCAUUCAGGACAAAGUCUGCUUGAUUCUAGGACAAUAUUGAGUCAGGUUUAGUGUGUCAACAAGAGAGUCAGCCUUUCCUUUGAGAAGUGCAUCACACACAUGGGCACCUACUGUAAAAGGUGGGGAAGGAACUGGUAGUGAUAACUGAGGUGAGGAGCUGAAGUGCUCUUGCUCUCACUCUCUAUUUUUCACACAUAAAUAAGCACACAUAGAUGUCUUUCAUAUCCCUCCUUGCAUCCUUUCCAUAGGCUGCUCUGUCAAGUUGGG
Molecule: long non-coding RNA, 1138 nt
Filed under: Parus major (Great Tit)
Lineage: Eukaryota; Metazoa; Chordata; Aves; Passeriformes; Paridae
Description: lncRNA (ENSPMJG00000010312.1)
Source: RNAcentral